Non-coding RNA from Anopheles minimus, 191 nucleotides. The record is from Rfam. NCBI's taxonomy places the organism in Eukaryota, Metazoa, Arthropoda, Insecta, Diptera, Culicidae.
UAGAAAUACCGCACUGGUGGGGUAUGGAUCCGAAGCCUCUAGAACGAUAACAAAGGCUCUCCACACUCUACUCCUACUCAAUACGUCCCCGGCGUACAGAGCGGUAACAUGUCUCUUCAAAUAUCUGAGCUUGGGUAUACGGGGAAACCCAACCCCUUGGGAGGAUGGGUGAUAUGGCUAAAUUGAGAGGA